Molecule: ribosomal RNA, 567 nt
Filed under: Alternaria alternata
Lineage: Eukaryota; Fungi; Ascomycota; Dothideomycetes; Pleosporales; Pleosporaceae
Description: eukaryotic LSU rRNA
Rfam family: 5.8S ribosomal RNA (bases 204-357)
Source: RNAcentral
ACAAGGUCUCCGUAGGUGAACCUGCGGAGGGAUCAUUACACAAAUAUGAAGGCGGGCUGGAACCUCUCGGGGUUACAGCCUUGCKGAAUUAUUCACCCUUGUCUUUUGCGUACUUCUUGUUUCCUUGGUGGGUUCGCCCACCACUAGGACAAACAUAAACCUUUUGUAAUUGCAAUCAGCGUCAGUAACAAAUUAAUAAUUACAACUUUCAACAACGGAUCUCUUGGUUCUGGCAUCGAUGAAGAACGCAGCGAAAUGCGAUAAGUAGUGUGAAUUGCAGAAUUCAGUGAAUCAUCGAAUCUUUGAACGCACAUUGCGCCCUUUGGUAUUCCAAAGGGCAUGCCUGUUCGAGCGUCAUUUGUACCCUCAAGCUUUGCUUGGUGUUGGGCGUCUUGUCUCUAGCUUUGCUGGAGACUCGCCUUAAAGUAAUUGGCAGCCGGCCUACUGGUUUCGGAGCGCAGCACAAGUCGCACUCUCUAUCAGCAAAGSUCUAGCAUCCAUUAAGCCUUUUUUUCAACUUUUGACCUCGGAUCAGGUAGGGAUACCCGCUGAACUUAAGCAUAUCAU